UACAGAGGUCUCAAGCGUUGUUCGGAUUCAUUGGGCGUAAAGGGUGCGUAGGCGGUUCGUCGCGUCGGCUGUGAAAUCCCGAGGCUCAACCUCGGGUCUGCAGUCGAUACGGGCGGACUGGAGUUCGGCAGGGGAGACUGGAAUUCCUGGUGUAGCGGUGAAAUGCGCAGAUAUCAGGAGGAACACCGGUGGCGAAGGCGGGUCUCUGGGCCACUACUGACGCUGAGAAGCGAAAGCAUGGGGAGCGAACAGG
RNAcentral lists this ribosomal RNA (253 nucleotides) under uncultured bacterium. Its description in RNAcentral is "partial 16S ribosomal RNA". It matches the Rfam family "Bacterial small subunit ribosomal RNA", at positions 524 to 776 of the family's 1533-position model. The record is from RNAcentral.